AGGGGAGUGAAAAAGAACCUGAAACCGUGUACGUACAAGCAGUGGGAGCACGCUUAGGCGUGUGACUGCGUACCUUUUGUAUAAUGGGUCAGCGACUUAUAUUCUGUAGCAAGGUUAACCGAAUAGGGGAGCCGAAGGGAAACCGAGUCUUAACUGGGCGUUAAGUUGCAGGGUAUAGACCCGAAACCCGGUGAUCUAGCCAUGGGCAGGUUGAAGGUUGGGUAACACUAACUGGAGGACCGAACCGACUAAUGUUGAAAAAUUAGCGGAUGACUUGUGGCUGGGGGUGAAAGGCCAAUCAAACCGGGAGAUAGCUGGUUCUCCCCGAAAGCUAUUUAGGUAGCGCCUCGUGAAUUCAUCUCCGGGGGUAGAGCACUGUUUCGGCAAGGGGGUCAUCCCGACUUACCAACCCGAUGCAAACUGCGAAUACCGGAGAAUGUUAUCACGGGAGACACACGGCGGGUGCUAACGUCCGUCGUGAAGAGGGAAACAACCCAGACCGCCAGCUAAGGUCCCAAAGUCAUGGUUAAGUGGGAAACGAUGUGGGAAGGCCCAGACAGCCAGGAUGUUGGCUUAGAAGCAGCCAUCAUUUAAAGAAAGCGUAAUAGCUCACUGGUCGAGUCGGCCUGCGCGGAAGAUGUAACGGGGCUAAACCAUGCACCGAAGCUGCGGCAGCGACGCUGAUGCGUUGUUGGGUAGGGGAGCGUUCUGUAAGCCUGUGAAGGUGUGCUGUGAGGCAUGCUGGAGGUAUCAGAAGUGCGAAUGCUGACAUAAGUAACGAUAAAGCGGGUGAAAAGCCCGCUCGCCGGAAGACCAAGGGUUCCUGUCCAACGUUAAUCGGGGCAGGGUGAGUCGACCCCUAAGGCGAGGCCGAAAGGCGUAGUCGAUGGGAAACAGGUUAAUAUUCCUGUACUUGGUGUUACUGCGAAGGGGGGACGGAGAAGGCUAUGUUGGCCGGGCGACGGUUGUCCCGGUUUAAGCGUGUAGGCUGGUUUUCCAGGCAAAUCCGGAAAAUCAAGGCUGAGGCGUGAUGACGAGGCACUACGGUGCUGAAGCAACAAAUGCCCUGCUUCCAGGAAAAGCCUCUAAGCAUCAGGUAACAUCAAAUCGUACCCCAAACCGACACAGGUGGUCAGGUAGAGAAUACCAAGGCGCUUGAGAGAACUCGGGUGAAGGAACUAGGCAAAAUGGUGCCGUAACUUCGGGAGAAGGCACGCUGAUAUGUAGGUGAAGCGACUUGCUCGUGGAGCUGAAAUCAGUCGAAGAUACCAGCUGGCUGCAACUGUUUAUUAAAAACACAGCACUGUGCAAACACGAAAGUGGACGUAUACGGUGUGACGCCUGCCCGGUGCCGGAAGGUUAAUUGAUGGGGUCAGCGCAAGCGAAGCUCUUGAUCGAAGCCCCGGUAAACGGCGGCCGUAACUAUAACGGUCCUAAGGUAGCGAAAUUCCUUGUCGGGUAAGUUCCGACCUGCACGAAUGGCGUAAUGAUGGCCAGGCUGUCUCCACCCGAGACUCAGUGAAAUUGAACUCGCUGUGAAGAUGCAGUGUACCCGCGGCAAGACGGAAAGACCCCGUGAACCUUUACUAUAGCUUGACACUGAACAUUGAGCCUUGAUGUGUAGGAUAGGUGGGAGGCUUUGAAGUGUGG
Molecule: ribosomal RNA, 1650 nt
Filed under: Escherichia coli
Lineage: Bacteria; Pseudomonadati; Pseudomonadota; Gammaproteobacteria; Enterobacterales; Enterobacteriaceae
Description: partial 23S ribosomal RNA
Rfam family: Bacterial large subunit ribosomal RNA
Source: RNAcentral